Molecule: ribosomal RNA, 501 nt
Filed under: uncultured bacterium
Lineage: Bacteria
Description: partial 16S ribosomal RNA
Rfam family: Bacterial small subunit ribosomal RNA
Source: RNAcentral
AUUGAACGCUGGCGGCAGGCUUAACACAUGCAAGUCGAGCGGGGGAAGGUAGCUUGCUACCGGACCUAGCGGCGGACGGGUGAGUAAUGCUUAGGAAUCUGCCUAUUAGUGGGGGACAACAUCUCGAAAGGGAUGCUAAUACCGCAUACGUCCUACGGGAGAAAGCAGGGGAUCUUCGGACCUUGCGCUAAUAGAUGAGCCUAAGUCGGAUUAGCUAGUUGGUGGGGUAAAGGCCUACCAAGGCGACGAUCUGUAGCGGGUCUGAGAGGAUGAUCCGCCACACUGGGACGGAGACACGGCCCAGACUCCUACGGGAGGUAGCAGUGGGGAAUAUUGGACAAUGGGGGGAACCCUGAUCCAGCCAUGCCGCGUGUGUGAAGAAGGCCUUAUGGUUGUAAAGCACUUUAAGCGAGGAGGAGGCUACUCUAGUUAAUACCUAGGGAUAGUGGACGUUACUCGCAGAAUAAGCACCGGCUAACUCUGUGCCAGCCGCCGCAGUAA